UUAAAGAAAGCGUAAUAGCUCACUGGUCGAGUCGGCCUGCGCGGAAGAUGUAACGGGGCUAAACCAUGCACCGAAGCUGCGGCAGCGACGCUGAUGCGUUGUUGGGUAGGGGAGCGUUCUGUAAGCCUGUGAAGGUGUGCUGUGAGGCAUGCUGGAGGUAUCAGAAGUGCGAAUGCUGACAUAAGUAACGAUAAAGCGGGUGAAAAGCCCGCUCGCCGGAAGACCAAGGGUUCCUGUCCAACGUUAAUCGGGGCAGGGUGAGUCGACCCCUAAGGCGAGGCCGAAAGGCGUAGUCGAUGGGAAACAGGUUAAUAUUCCUGUACUUGGUGUUACUGCGAAGGGGGGACGGAGAAGGCUAUGUUGGCCGGGCGACGGUUGUCCCGGUUUAAGCGUGUAGGCUGGUUUUCCAGGCAAAUCCGGAAAAUCAAGGCUGAGGCGUGAUGACGAGGCACUACGGUGCUGAAGCAACAAAUGCCCUGCUUCCAGGAAAAGCCUCUAAGCAUCAGGUAACAUCAAAUCGUACCCCAAACCGACACAGGUGGUCAGGUAGAGAAUACCAAGGCGCUUGAGAGAACUCGGGUGAAGGAACUAGGCAAAAUGGUGCCGUAACUUCGGGAGAAGGCACGCUGAUAUGUAGGUGAAGUCCCUCGCGGAUGGAGCUGAAAUCAGUCGAAGAUACCAGCUGGCUGCAACUGUUUAUUAAAAACACAGCACUGUGCAAACACGAAAGUGGACGUAUACGGUGUGACGCCUGCCCGGUGCCGGAAGGUUAAUUGAUGGGGUCAGCGCAAGCGAAGCUCUUGAUCGAAGCCCCGGUAAACGGCGGCCGUAACUAUAACGGUCCUAAGGUAGCGAAAUUCCUUGUCGGGUAAGUUCCGACCUGCACGAAUGGCGUAAUGAUGGCCAGGCUGUCUCCACCCGAGACUCAGUGAAAUUGAACUCGCUGUGAAGAUGCAGUGUACCCGCGGCAAGACGGAAAGACCCCGUGAACCUUUACUAUAGCUUGACACUGAACAUUGAGCCUUGAUGUGUAGGAUAGGUGGGAGGCUUUGAAGUGUGGACGCCAGUCUGCAUGGAGCCGGCCUUGAAAUACCACCCUUUAAUGUUUGAUGUUCUAACGUUGACCCGUGAUCCGGGUUGCGGACAGUGUCUGGUGGGUAGUUUGACUGGGGCGGUCUCCUCCUAAAGAGUAACGGAGGAGCACGAAGGUUGGCUAAUCCUGGUCGGACAUCAGGAGGUUAGUGCAAUGGCAUAAGCCAGCUUGACUGCGAGCGUGACGGCGCGAGCAGGUGCGAAAGCAGGUCAUAGUGAUCCGGUGGUUCUGAAUGGAAGGGCCAUCGCUCAACGGAUAAAAGGUACUCCGGGGAUAACAGGCUGAUACCGCCCAAGAGUUCAUAUCGACGGCGGUGUUUGGCACCUCGAUGUCGGCUCAUCACAUCCUGGGGCUGAAGUAGGUCCCAAGGGUAUGGCUGUUCGCCAUUUAAAGUGGUACGCGAGCUGGGUUUAGAACGUCGUGAGACAGUUCGGUCCCUAUCUGCCGUGGGCGCUGGAGAACUGAGGGGGGCUGCUCCUAGUACGAGAGGACCGGAGUGGACGCAUCACUGGUGUUCGGGUUGUCAUGCCAAUGGCACUGCCCGGUAGCUAAAUGCGGAAGAGAUAAGUGCUGAAAGCAUCUAAGCACGAAACUUGCCCCGAGAUGAGUUCUCCCUGACUCCUUGAGAGUCCUGAAGGAACGUUGAAGACGACGACGUUGAUAGGCCGGGUGUGUAAGCGCAGCGAUGCGUUGAGCUAACCGGUACUAAUGAACCGUGAGGCUUAACCUUACAACGCCGAAG
This 1835-nucleotide ribosomal RNA is filed under the name Escherichia coli. Its description in RNAcentral is "partial 23S ribosomal RNA". It matches the Rfam family "Bacterial large subunit ribosomal RNA", at positions 1123 to 2925 of the family's 2925-position model. Lineage: Bacteria; Pseudomonadati; Pseudomonadota; Gammaproteobacteria; Enterobacterales; Enterobacteriaceae. The record is from RNAcentral.